RNAcentral lists this ribosomal RNA (266 nucleotides) under uncultured Lactobacillus sp. Its description in RNAcentral is "partial 16S ribosomal RNA". It matches the Rfam family "Bacterial small subunit ribosomal RNA", at positions 274 to 525 of the family's 1533-position model. The record is from RNAcentral. Lineage: Bacteria; Bacillati; Bacillota; Bacilli; Lactobacillales; Lactobacillaceae.
CGAUGAUGCAUAGCCCGAGUUGAGAGACUGAUCGGCCACAUUGGGGACUGAGACACGGCCCAAACUCCCUACGGGAGGCAGCAGUAGGGAAUCUUCCACAAUGGACGCAAGUCUGAUGGAGCAAACGCCGCGUGAGUGAAGAAGGUUUUCGGAUCGUAAAGCUCUGUUGUUGGUGAAGAAGGAUAGAGGUAGUAACUGGCCCUUUAUUUUGACGGUAAUCAACCAGAAAGUCACGGGCUAACUACGUGCCAGCAGCCGCGGUAAAU